AUGGCUGCGAGGAGAACCAUUCUUCUCGCCAUGGCUGCCAUGGCCAUCCUAAGCACGGCGUCUGCGGCAAUCUACAACGUGGGUGAGCCGGGCGGCGCAUGGGACCUCAGCACCAACUACGGCACUUGGGCGUCCUCUAGGAACUUCCAAACCGGCGACCAGAUCGUCUUCAAGUACUCCCCUCAGGCACACGACGUCCUCGAGGUCAGCAAGGCCGACUAUGACUCAUGCAGCACCGCCAGCCCUGUCACCACCUUCAACUCCGGGAAUGAUGUUGUUACUCUCACCACCACCGGCACCCGCUACUACAUAUGCGGUUUCCCUGGUCAUUGCGCGGGCGGCAUGAAGGUUAAGAUCGAUGUCAUGCCAGGCUCCUCCUCAUCACCCGCCCCAGCCAGCGGCCCAAGUGCAAGCAACGCUCCCCCGCCGACCCCUGUGUCCGCUGCCACCAAUGUGGAGGCCACAGGGUUUGGCCUCGCCGUUUUGCUUGCCGUUGCCGGCCUCAUGGCUUGA
This 513-nucleotide ribosomal RNA is filed under the name Triticum aestivum (bread wheat). Its description in RNAcentral is "partial small subunit ribosomal RNA". The record is from RNAcentral. Lineage: Eukaryota; Viridiplantae; Streptophyta; Magnoliopsida; Poales; Poaceae.